RNAcentral lists this long non-coding RNA (817 nucleotides) under Pan troglodytes (chimpanzee). RNAcentral's name for it is "long non-coding RNA NONPTRT017562". The record is from RNAcentral. Lineage: Eukaryota; Metazoa; Chordata; Mammalia; Primates; Hominidae.
AGAAGAUGCUCAGCUUCUCUCAAAUCCAAAAGAUGCAAAUUAAAUCAUACUUGAAUGAAGCUGGAAAGGUGCGGAGCUGGGAUGGCGCUGCCUGGGAAGGAAGAGCCGCGGCGGGAUUGGUCUAGGAGGAGGCCUAGGCCCGACCUGCGGUGGUGGGUCUUGCCUCGACGGGGCUGCUUCGCGCCCUCUCCUCUGCUCCAGCUUCGCCCACUUCCCCUUGCCAGCGGGCUAGGCACAGGGGAGACCUGCCGGAGCCACGGAAGAUGAGGUGGCCCGCAGUGCCAAGAAGAUGGACAAGAUGGUGCAGGAGAAGAACACGGCCGGAGCACUGGGUUUGUUAACAGAGCUUCAGAAUGUUCUGGAAUUACUGCGGUCCACAGGAACUGGAAUGUUACUUAAUGUUAGUCUCAAGCAGAGUGCAGAUGAGGAAGUUACAUCUUUAGCAAAGUCUGUCGUCAAAUCCUGGAAAAAGUUGCCAGAUAAGCCAUCAAGUGAGAAAGACCCUAACGAAAAGCAAAUAGAACCUGUAAUGACAUCGCAGAAUAGCAAAAGAAAGUAGCUCCAGCGGCAAUGUAAGCGGCAGAAAGGAUAAGACAAAUGCUUGAGAUAUUUGUUUCAUCUGUUCCUUGGCAAGAAGCGCUUCUGAUUCUGUGCGGAUGAAGUACAGGGAGAUGCUUGCUGCAGCUCUUCGAACAGGAGAUGACUGCAUUGAAAUGGGAGCUGAUGAGGAAGAAUUAGGAUCUCGAAUUGAGGAAGCUAUAGAUCCAGAAAGAGGGAAUACAGGCAUGAAGUACAAAAAUAGAGUCCAAAGUAAGAU